Molecule: ribosomal RNA, 373 nt
Filed under: uncultured bacterium
Lineage: Bacteria
Description: bacterial SSU rRNA
Rfam family: Bacterial small subunit ribosomal RNA
Source: RNAcentral
AACGAACGUUGGCGGCGUGGAUUAGGCAUGCAAGUCGAACGAAUCCCAGCUUUGUAGCAAUACCGAGCUGGGGGAAGUGGCGAAAGGGGCAGUAAGGCGUGGAUAACCUACCCCGGGGACGGGGAUAGCUAUUCUAACGAGUAGGGUAAUACCUGGCGAUUUGGUCGAGGGGCAUCCCUUGGCCAGGAAAUGAAUUUCGCCUCGGGAGGGGUUCACGUGAUAUUAGCUAGUUGGUGGGGUAACGGCCUACCAAGGCGAAGANGUCUAGCGGGUGUGAGAGCACGACCGCCGCCACUGGCACUGAGACACUGGCCAGACACCUACGGGUGGCUGCAGUCGAGGAUCUUGGCAAUGAGCGCAAGCUUGACCAAGC